RNAcentral lists this ribosomal RNA (952 nucleotides) under Phragmidium biloculare. RNAcentral describes it as "eukaryotic LSU rRNA". It matches the Rfam family "Eukaryotic large subunit ribosomal RNA", at positions 38 to 964 of the family's 3401-position model. Lineage: Eukaryota; Fungi; Basidiomycota; Pucciniomycetes; Pucciniales; Phragmidiaceae. The record is from RNAcentral.
GCAUAUCAAUAAGCGGAGGAAAAGAAACUAACAAGGAUUCCCCCAGUAACGGCGAGUGAAGAGGGAAAAGCCCAAAUUUGUAAUCUGGCUCUUUCACAAGGGUCCGAGUUGUAAUUUUAAGAACUGUUUUCUGUGCUGGACCAUUUCUAAGUCUGUUGGAAAAUAGCAUCAUAGAGGGUGAUAAUCCCGUUUGUGAUAUGGACUACCAGGGCUAUAUGAUACAGUUUCUAAGAGUCGAGUUGUUUGGGAAUGCAGCUCAAAGUGGGUGGUAAAUUCCAUCUAAGGCUAAAUAUAGGUGAGAGACCGAUAGCAUACAAGUACCGUGAGGGAAAGAUGAAAAGAACUUUGGAAAGAGAGUUAACAGUACGUGAAAUUGUUGUAAAAGAAACAUUUAAACUUGUUGUUGUGCUUGUCAGUUCAGCCCUUUUAUCAGGGUGUAUUCUGGCAAAUCACGGGCCAACAUCAGUUUUUGAGUGCUGGAUAAGGGUCUUGGGAAUGUAGCAGUCUAGGCUGUGUUAUAGCCCAGGAUUUAGAUACAGUGCUUAGGACUGAGAACAAUUUGCAGCAAGCCCUUUACUGUGGCUGCCUAUCAUGGGCACCUAUGCUGAGGAUGUUGGUGAGACAGAUUUAAAUGACCCGUCUUGAAACACGGACCAAGGAGUCUAACAUGCUUGCGAGUGUUUGGGUGUUGAAACCCUGAUGCGUAAUAAACGUAAAUGUAAAUGGGAUCUGUAACAAGUGCACCAUUGACCAGUCCUGAUUAUUUAUAUGAGGGUACUGAGUAAGAGCAAGUAUGUUGGGACCCGAAAGAUGGUGAACUAUGCCUGAAUAGGGUGAAGCCAGAGGAAACUCUGGUGGAAGCUCGUAGCGAUUCUGACGUGCAAAUCGAUCGUCGAAUUUGGGUAUAGGGGCGAAAGACUAAUCGAACCAUCUAGUAGCUGGUUCCUGCCGA